AGAAUAACUGUUGGAAACGACAGCUAAUACUCCAUAAGCUGGGAAACCAGGAAAGAUUUAUCGCCAAAGGAGGAGCCGCGUCAGAUUAGGUAGUUGGUGGGGUAAAGGCCUACCAGGCCUGUGAUCUGUAGCUGGUCUGAGAGGAUGACCAGCCACACUGGGACUGAGACACGGCCCAGACUCCUACGGGAGGCAGCAGUGGGGAAUAUUGGACAAUGGGGGAACCCUGAUCCAGCAAUGCCGCGUGAGUGAAGAAGGCCUUCGGGUUGUAAAGCUCUUUCGCCUGUGAAGAUAAUGACGGUAACAGGAUAAGAAGUCCCGGCUAACUCCGUGC
This 334-nucleotide ribosomal RNA is filed under the name uncultured Sphingomonas sp. RNAcentral's name for it is "bacterial SSU rRNA". It matches the Rfam family "Bacterial small subunit ribosomal RNA", at positions 140 to 508 of the family's 1533-position model. Lineage: Bacteria; Pseudomonadati; Pseudomonadota; Alphaproteobacteria; Sphingomonadales; Sphingomonadaceae. The record is from RNAcentral.